This 274-nucleotide ribosomal RNA is filed under the name uncultured bacterium. RNAcentral's name for it is "partial 16S ribosomal RNA". It matches the Rfam family "Archaeal small subunit ribosomal RNA", at positions 473 to 747 of the family's 1478-position model. The record is from RNAcentral.
AAACCAGCACCUCAAGUGGUCAGGAUGAUUAUUGGGCCUAAAGCAUCCGUAGCCGGCUCUGUAAGUUUUCGGUUAAAUCUGUACGCUCAACGUACAGGCUGCUGGGAAUACUGCAGGGCUAGGGAGUGCGAGAGAUAGACGGUACUCGGGAGGAAGUGGUAAAAUGCUUUGAUCUCUCGAUGACCACCUGUGGCGAAGGCGGUCUAUCAGAACACGUCCGACGGUGAGGGAUGAAAGCUGGGGGAGCAAACCGGAUUAGAAACCCUGGUAGUCC